Molecule: ribosomal RNA, 1475 nt
Filed under: Streptomyces hainanensis
Lineage: Bacteria; Bacillati; Actinomycetota; Actinomycetes; Kitasatosporales; Streptomycetaceae
Description: bacterial SSU rRNA
Rfam family: Bacterial small subunit ribosomal RNA
Source: RNAcentral
GGCCCCCUAUGAGAGUAAUGGGUUUUCAACAAGACCCGUUUUCCGGCCGGGAUAGUGGCGAACGGGUGAGUAACACGUGGGGCAAUCUGCCCUGCACUCUGGGGAUAAGCCCGGGAAACGGGGUCUAAUACCGGAUAUGACCUUCGGUCGCAUGAUCGUUGGUGGAAAGCUUUUGCGGUGUAGGAUGGGCCCGCGGCCUAUCAGCUUGUUGGUGGGGUGAUGGUCCAUCAAGGCGACGAUCACGGGUAGCCGGUGAGACGGCGACCGGCCCGACUGGGACUGAGACACGGCCCACAGUCCUACGGGAGGCUGCAUGGGGUAUAUUGCACAAUGGGCGCAAGCCUGGAUGCAGCGACGCCGCGUGAGGGAUGACGGCCUUCGGGUUGUAAACCUCUUUCAGCAGGGAAGAAGCGCAAGUGACGGUACCUGCAGAAGAAGCACCGGCUAACUACGUGCCAGCAGCCGCGGUAAUACGUAGGGUGCAAGCGUUGUCCGGAAUUAUUGGGCGUAAAGAGCUCGUAGGCGGCUUGUCGCGUCGGUUGUGAAAGCCCGGGGCUUAACCCUGGGUCUGCAGUCGAUACGGGCAGGCUAGAGUUCGGUAGGGGAGAUCGGAUAAUUCCUGGUGUAGCGGUGAAAAUGCGCAGAUAUCAAGAAGAACACCGGUGGCAGAAGGCGGAUCUCAUGGGCCGAUACUGACGCUGAGGAGCGAAAAGCGUGGGGAGCGAACAGGAUUAGAUACCCUGGUAGUCCACGCUGUAAACGGUGGGAACUAGGUGUGGGCAGCAUUCCACGUUGUCUGUGCCGUAGCUAACGCAUUAAGUUCCCCGCCUGGGGAGUACGGCCGCAAGGCUAAAACUCAAAGGAAUUGACGGGGGCCCGCANNCAAGCGGCGGAGCAUGUGGCUUAAUUCGACGCAACGCGAAGAACCUUACCAAGGCUUGACAUGCAUCGGAAGCAUCCAGAGAUGGGUGUGCUCUUUGAGUCGGUGUACAGGUGGUGCAUGGCUGUCGUCAGCUCGUGUCGUGAGAUGUUGGGUUAAGUCCCGCAACGAGCGCAACCCUUGUCCUGUGUUGCCAGCGGAGCCUUCGGGCUGCCGGGGACUCACGGGAGACUGCCGGGGUCAACUCGGAGGAAGGUGGGGACGACGUCAAGUCAUCAUGCCCCUUAUGUCUUGGGCUGCACACGUGCUACAAUGGCCGGUACAAUGAGCUGCGAUGCCGUGAGGUGGAGCGAAUCUCAAAAAGCCCGGUCUCAGUUCGGAUUGGGGUCUGCAACUCGACCCCAUGAAGUCGGAGUCGCUAGUAAUCGCAGAUCAGCAUUGCUGCGGUGAAUACGUUCCCGGGCCUUGUACACACCGCCUCGUCAAGUUCAUCGAAAGAUCAGGUAAUCAUCUCCAAAGAUUCGGUGGGUCCUAAACACCUCGUAGUUGGCGUAGGGAGGUUCCGUCCGAAAGGNUGGGUACUUGAGCAAAUUCG